CUGCUUUAUUCGGANNANNNUUCUACGUGUAGAGAGCUGANNACGAAGAAUAAGAUCGCUACUCGUNCAGCANCGCGGUAAUACGGAGGANCAGCGUAUCCGGAUUUAUGGGUUUAAANGUGCGUAGGCGCUUAUUAAGUCAGGGGUGAAAGACGGUGGCUCAACCCAUCGCAGUGCCUUUGAUACCUGAUGAGCUUGAAUGAACUAGAGGUAGGCGGAAUGUGACAAGUAGCGGUGAAAUGCAUAGAUAUGUCACAGAACACCGAUUGAGAAGGCAGCUUACUAUGGUUUUAUUGACGCUGAGGCACGAAAGCGUGGGGAUCAAACAGGAUUAGAUACCCUGGUAGUCCACGCCCUAAACGAUGAAUACUCGCUGUUAGCGAUACACAGUUAGCGGCUAAGCGAAAGCGUUAAGUAUUCCACCUGGGGAGUACGCCCGCAAGGGUGAAACUCAAAGGAAUUGACGGGGGCCCGCACAAGCGGAGGAGCAUGUGGUUUAAUUCGAUGAUACGCGAGGAACCUUACCCGGGCUUGAAAGUUAGUGAAUCAUUUAGAGAUAGAUGAGUCCGCAAGGACACGAAACUAGGUGCUGCAUGGCUGUCGUCAGCUCGUGCCGUGAGGUGUUGGGUUAAGUCCCGCAACGAGCGCAACCCCUAUGUUUAGUUGCCAGCACGUUAAGGUGGGGACUCUAAACAGACUGCCUGUGCAAACAGAGAGGAAGGAGGGGACGACGUCAAGUCAUCAUGGCCCUUACGUCCGGGGCUACACACGUGCUACAAUGGAUGGUACAGAGGGCAGCAAGCUGGCAACAGCAAGCAAAUCUCAAAAAGCCAUUCACAGUUCGGAUAGAGGUCUGCAACUCGACCUCUUGAAGUUGGAUUCGCUAGUAAUCGCGUAUCAGCAAUGACGCGGUGAAUACGUUCCCGGGCCUUGUACACACCGCCCGUCAAGCCAUGGAAGUUGGGGGUACCUAAAGUAUGUAACCGCAAGGAGCGUCCUAGGGUAAAACCGAUAACUGGGGCUAAGUCGUAACAAGGUAGC
This 1041-nucleotide ribosomal RNA is filed under the name uncultured bacterium. Its description in RNAcentral is "bacterial SSU rRNA". It matches the Rfam family "Bacterial small subunit ribosomal RNA", at positions 430 to 1500 of the family's 1533-position model. The record is from RNAcentral.